RNAcentral lists this ribosomal RNA (251 nucleotides) under Shigella sonnei. RNAcentral describes it as "partial 16S ribosomal RNA". It matches the Rfam family "Bacterial small subunit ribosomal RNA", at positions 1 to 246 of the family's 1533-position model. Lineage: Bacteria; Pseudomonadati; Pseudomonadota; Gammaproteobacteria; Enterobacterales; Enterobacteriaceae. The record is from RNAcentral. RNAcentral also lists the same sequence under 1 other name.
UUAAAUUGAAGAGUUUGAUCAUGGCUCAGAUUGAACGCUGGCGGCAGGCCUAACACAUGCAAGUCGAACGGUAACAGGAAGCAGCUUGCUGCUUCGCUGACGAGUGGCGGACGGGUGAGUAAUGUCUGGGAAACUGCCUGAUGGAGGGGGAUAACUACUGGAAACGGUAGCUAAUACCGCAUAACGUCGCAAGACCAAAGAGGGGGACCUUCGGGCCUCUUGCCAUCGGAUGUGCCCAGAUGGGAUUAGCU